This 253-nucleotide ribosomal RNA is filed under the name uncultured bacterium. Its description in RNAcentral is "partial 16S ribosomal RNA". It matches the Rfam family "Bacterial small subunit ribosomal RNA", at positions 524 to 776 of the family's 1533-position model. The record is from RNAcentral.
UACAGAGGGUGCGAGCGUUAAUCGGAAUUACUGGGCGUAAAGCGCACGUAGUCGGCUUUGCAAGUCGGGUGUGAAAUCCCCGGGCUUAACCUGGGAAUGGCAUUGGUGACUGCACGGCUAGAGUGUGUCAGAGGGGGGUAGAAUUCCACGUGUAGCAGUGAAAUGCGUAGAGAUGUGGAGGAAUACCGAUGGCGAAGGCAGCCCCCUGGGAUAACACUGACGCUCAUGCACGAAAGCGUGGGGAGCAAACAGG